Molecule: unclassified non-coding RNA, 280 nt
Filed under: Hevea brasiliensis (rubber tree)
Lineage: Eukaryota; Viridiplantae; Streptophyta; Magnoliopsida; Malpighiales; Euphorbiaceae
Source: RNAcentral
GGUUCCAUGAAAGGGUCUGCAGCAACAAUCUCUGACGACAUUAUUCAAUUCACCCUUUGUAAAUUGGCCUGGAGUGUUUGUUUUGGGCUAUGAUUGACUCCCUCCUCAAGGCACUUGAAUUCUACUCAGUCGCUCCAAGGCACUAAUGAGGGUUCCGGGACUUGGAAUCGCCGCACUAAUCUUGGUUUGAUUUGAAAUUUGAAAUUUUAACUCGGCAAUACAUUGUGAUGAUCACAGAAUUGCCUAAAAAGGAAUCAAACCCAACUUCUAUGUAGAAAAU